GAUGAAGAACGUAGCGAAAUGCGAUAAGUAAUGUGAAUUGCAGAAUUCAGUGAAUCAUCGAAUCUUUGAACGCACAUUGCGCCCCCUGGUAUUCCGGGGGGCAUGCCUGUCCGAGCGUCAUUGCUGCCCUCAAGCACGGCUUGUGUGUUGGGCCUCCGUCCUCCUCCCGGGGGACGGGCCCGAAAGGCAGCGGCGGCACCGCGUCCGGUCCUCGAGCGUAUGGGGCUUCGUCACCCGCUCUUGUAGGCCCGGCCGGCGCUUGCCGACACAUCAAUCUUUUUUCCAGGUUGACCUCGGAUCAGGUAGGGAUACCCGCUGAACUUAAGCAUAUCAAUAAGCGGAAGA
Molecule: unclassified non-coding RNA, 345 nt
Filed under: soil metagenome
Description: partial contains 5.8S ribosomal RNA, internal transcribed spacer 2, and large subunit ribosomal RNA
Rfam family: 5.8S ribosomal RNA (bases 1-120)
Source: RNAcentral